AGAGUUUGAUCAUGGCUCAGAUUGAACGCUGGCGGCAGGCUUAACACAUGCAAGUCGAGCGGUAACAGGUCGCUGAGAUUCCUUCGGGAUGAUCUUGAUGCUGACGAGCGGCGGACGGGUGAGUAACGCGUAGGAAUCCACCCAGUAGAGGGGGAUAGCCCGGGGAAACCCGGAUUAAUACCGCAUACGCCCCACGGGGGAAAGGCCGGGAUCUUCGGACCGGUCACUAUUGGAUGAGCCUGCGUAAGAUUAGCUAGUUGGUAGGGUAAAGGCCUACCAAGGCGACGAUCUUUAGCUGGUCUGAGAGGAUGAUCAGCCACACUGGGACUGAGACACGGUCCAGACUCCUACGGGAGNCAGCAGUGGGGAAUUUUGGACAAUGGGGGAAACCCUGAUCCAGCCAUUCCGCGUGAGUGAAGAAGGCCUUCGGGUUGUAAAGCUCUUU
RNAcentral lists this ribosomal RNA (445 nucleotides) under uncultured bacterium. Its description in RNAcentral is "bacterial SSU rRNA". It matches the Rfam family "Bacterial small subunit ribosomal RNA", at positions 8 to 436 of the family's 1533-position model. The record is from RNAcentral.